This 253-nucleotide ribosomal RNA is filed under the name uncultured bacterium. Its description in RNAcentral is "partial 16S ribosomal RNA". It matches the Rfam family "Bacterial small subunit ribosomal RNA", at positions 524 to 776 of the family's 1533-position model. The record is from RNAcentral.
GACGUAGGGUGCAAGCGUUGUCCGGAUUUAUUGGGCGUAAAGAGUUCGUAGGCGGUUUAGUAAGUCUAAUGUUAAAUACCGGAGCUCAACUCCGGCAUGGCAUUGGAUACUGCUAGGCUAGAGUCUGGUAGAGGUAAGGGGAAUUCCUGGUGUAGCGGUGAAAUGCGUAGAUAUCAGGAGGAACACCGGUGGCGAAAGCGCCUUACUGGACCAUGACUGACGCUGAGGAACGAAAGCUAGGGUAGCGAAAGGG